Niastella vici is the source of this 171-nucleotide non-coding RNA. The record is from Rfam. NCBI's taxonomy places the organism in Bacteria, Pseudomonadati, Bacteroidota, Chitinophagia, Chitinophagales, Chitinophagaceae.
UCCUCCGCGAGGAGGAAUCUGAAGGAAGCCAGCGGUAAAUCUCUGGCCUGACGAACAGGAAGCAGAUGAGGCAAUUAUCUAUGGGCGAGUUUGCCAAACAAAACAAAGCCCAAAACUAUCCGAAACAGAUAACUGUAUAUCUGACAGGUACAUGGAGAGAAAGUUUGCGCA